GAUGAACGCUGGCGGCGUGCCUAAUACAUGCAAGUCGAGCGAACAGACGAGGAGCUUGCUCGUCUGACGUUAGCGGCGGACGGGUGAGUAACACGUGGAUAACCUACCUAUAAGACUGGGAUAACUUCGGGAAACCGGAGCUAAUACCGGAUAAUAUAUUGAACCGCAUGGUUCAAUAGUGAAAGACGGUUUUGCUGUCACUUAUAGAUGGAUCCGCGCCGCAUUAGCUAGUUGGUAAGGUAACGGCUUAUCAAGGCAACGAUGCGUAGCCGACCUGAGAGGGUGAUCGGCCACACUGGAACUGAGACACGGUCCAGACUCCUACGGGAGGCAGCAGUAGGGAAUCUUCCGCAAUGGGCGAAAGCCUGACGGAGCAACGCCGCGUGAGUGAUGAAGGUCUUCGGAUCGUAAAGCUCUGUUAUUAGGGAAGAACAAAUGUGUAAGUAACUAUGCACGUCUUGACGGUACCUAAUCAGAAAGCCCCGGCUAACUACGUG
RNAcentral lists this ribosomal RNA (497 nucleotides) under uncultured bacterium. Its description in RNAcentral is "partial 16S ribosomal RNA". It matches the Rfam family "Bacterial small subunit ribosomal RNA", at positions 28 to 507 of the family's 1533-position model. The record is from RNAcentral.